This 253-nucleotide ribosomal RNA is filed under the name uncultured bacterium. RNAcentral's name for it is "partial 16S ribosomal RNA". It matches the Rfam family "Bacterial small subunit ribosomal RNA", at positions 524 to 776 of the family's 1533-position model. The record is from RNAcentral.
UACGAAGGGGGCUAGCGUUGUUCGGAUUUACUGGGCGUAAAGCGCACGUAGGCGGAUUGUUAAGUCGGGGGUGAAAUCCUGGAGCUCAACUCCAGAAUUGCCUUCGAUACUGGCUUUCUAGAGGCUUGAAGAGGUUAGUGGAAUUCCCAGUGUAGAGGUGAAAUUCGUAGAUAUUGGGAAGAACACCAGUGGCGAAGGCGGCUAACUGGUCCAGAUCUGACGCUGAGGUGCGAAAGCGUGGGGAGCAAACAGG